Long non-coding RNA from Dioscorea cayenensis subsp. rotundata (Guinea yam), 558 nucleotides. RefSeq lists it as uncharacterized. The transcript is spliced from 4 exons. NCBI's taxonomy places the organism in Eukaryota, Viridiplantae, Streptophyta, Magnoliopsida, Dioscoreales, Dioscoreaceae. The record is from RefSeq and is a predicted model, not a curated record.
AGGGUUAGGUCUGGGGCUAGGAUAAGGGUUUCUUAGGAUCCAAGAUGCUCCUCGACCUCUUCGGCGGUGGAGGUGGCGGUGUUGGUCAUCGGAGGGCUUAAACAAGGGAUGUGCAUGUUCAUUGUUGGUUCGGCAAUGAGGAUGUUGGAAGAAAUGAGAGAUAUGGUUCUCUUAGCUUAUGCCAAAGUCUUGGCUGCUGUACUCCGAUCAAGCUUGGCUGUAAUGCUGGUAAGAAUGGUUAUCAACAAGUUUGGUAUACCAGCUAUUCACAAUUCACAGUAUGAUGAAAGCCAAAUCGCUGAUCAUGUUCUACAUUGUUAAUUACACAAAGCCACUGAGGUGUAAAGGUUGGGAAAUGGCUCUUUUAGAGUACACAAUAGCCAUGCUUACAGAUUCUGCAUUGAAAUCAAAGCCACCACUAACUAGAAGACUUGCUGAGAUCUCAUGCCCUUCAAUUAGGGUUAAGAGAGCUUAGAGUGAGUGUGAAUGAGGGAGCUUUCAUUCUCACCUGGCAAGGUUUUGGAUUUCUCAUCCUCAUCGAAGGCAUCGCCUUAGCUG